RNAcentral lists this long non-coding RNA (212 nucleotides) under Malus domestica (apple). Its description in RNAcentral is "long non-coding RNA (MDOM_LNC003217)". Lineage: Eukaryota; Viridiplantae; Streptophyta; Magnoliopsida; Rosales; Rosaceae. The record is from RNAcentral.
AAAGAAAGAAAGAAAGAAAGAAAGAAAGAAAGAGAAAGAAAUAGGAGAGUGAAUCAGAGGUGAGAUAAGGGAGGAGAGAGAUGAGAGAGAAAAGAGAGGAUCGAAAAAGAGAUAAUUGGAGGAGCGAGAGAAAUGAUAGAGAUAAAAGAGAACAUAUUAGGUGUGAGAGGAAAGGGAAGAGAGAAAAAGUGAGUUUAAAUUUAAAAACUUUA